GACGAACGCUGGCGGCGUGCUUAACACAUGCAAGUCGAACGGAAAGGCCCUGCUUUUGUGGGGUGCUCGAGUGGCGAACGGGUGAGUAACACGUGAGUAACCUGCCCUUGACUUUGGGAUAACUUCAGGAAACUGGGGCUAAUACCGGAUAGGAGCUCCUGCUGCAUGGUGGGGGUUGGAAAGUUUCGGCGGUUGGGGAUGGACUCGCGGCUUAUCAGCUUGUUGGUGGGAUAGUGGCUUACCAAGGCUUUGACGGGUAGCCGGCCUGAGAGGGUGACCGGCCACAUUGGGACUGAGAUACGGCCCAGACUCCUACGGGAGGCAGCAGUGGGGAAUAUUGCACAAUGGGCGGAAGCCUGAUGCAGCAACGCCGCGUGCGGGAUGACGGCCUUCGGGUUGUAAACCGCUUUCGCCUGUGACGAAGCGUGAGUGACGGUAAUGGGUAAAGAAGCACCGGCUAACUACGUGCCAGCAGCCGCGGUGAUACGUAGGGUGCGAGCGUUGUCCGGAUUUAUUGGGCGUAAAGGGCUCGUAGGUGGUUGAUCGCGUCGGAAGUGUAAUCUUGGGGCUUAACCCUGAGCGUGCUUUCGAUACGGGUUGACUUGAGGAAGGUAGGGGAGAAUGGAAUUCCUGGUGGAGCGGUGGAAUGCGCAGAUAUCAGGAGGAACACCAGUGGCGAAGGCGGUUCUCUGGGCCUUUCCUGACGUUGAGGAGCGAAAGCGUGGGGAGCGAACAGGCUUAGAUACCCUGGUAGUCCACGCUGUAAACGGUGGGUACUAGGUGUGGGGUCCAUUCCACGGGUCCCGUGCCGUAGCUAACGCUUUAAGUACCCCGCCUGGGGAGUACGGCCGCAAGGCUAAAACUCAAAGGAAUUGACGGGGCCCCGCACAAGCGGCGGAGCAUGCGGAUUAAUUCGAUGCAACGCGUAGAACCUUACCUGGGUUUGACAUGGAUCGGGAGUGCUCAGAGAUGGGUGUGCCUCUUUUGGGGUCGGUUCACAGGUGGUGCAUGGCUGUCGUCAGCUCGUGUCGUGAGAUGUUGGGUUAAGUCCCGCAACGAGCGCAACCCUUGUUCACUGUUGCCAGCACGUUAUGGUGGGGACUCAGUGGAGACCGCCGGGGUCAACUCGGAGGAAGGUGGGGAUGACGUCAAGUCAUCAUGCCCCUUAUGUCCAGGGCUUCACGCAUGCUACAAUGGCUGGUACAGAGAGUGGCGAGCCUGUGAGGGUGAGCGAAUCUCGGAAAGCCGGUCUCAGUUCGGAUUGGGGUCUGCAACUCGACCUCAUGAAGUCGGAGUCGCUAGUAAUCGCAGAUCAGCAACGCUGCGGUGAAUACGUUCCCGGGGCU
This 1346-nucleotide ribosomal RNA is filed under the name uncultured bacterium. Its description in RNAcentral is "partial 16S ribosomal RNA". It matches the Rfam family "Bacterial small subunit ribosomal RNA", at positions 28 to 1381 of the family's 1533-position model. The record is from RNAcentral.